CGCGCGGUUCUAUUUUGUUGGUUUAUAGGACCGCCGUAAUGAUUAAUAGGGACAGUCGGGGGCAUCAGUAUUCAAAUGUCAGAGGUGAAAUUCUUGGAUCAUUUGAAGACUAACUACUGCGAAAGCAUUUGCCAAGGAUGUUUUCAUUAAUCAGGAACGAAAGUUAGGGGAUCGAAGACGAUCAGAUACCGUCGUAGUCUUAACCAUAAACUAUGCCGACUAGGGAUCGGACGGUGUUAUUCAUGACCCGUUCGGCACCUUACGAGAAAUCAAAGUGCUUGGGCUCCAGGGGGAGUAUGGUCGCAAGGCUGAAACUUAAAGAAAUUGACGGAAGGGCACCACCAGGGGUGGAGCCUGCGGCUUAAUUUGACUCAACACGGGGAAACUCAC
Molecule: ribosomal RNA, 390 nt
Filed under: fungal sp.
Lineage: Eukaryota; Fungi
Description: SSU rRNA
Rfam family: Eukaryotic small subunit ribosomal RNA
Source: RNAcentral